This 62-nucleotide small RNA is filed under the name Plasmodium falciparum 3D7. RNAcentral describes it as "Pfa-rasR7058". Lineage: Eukaryota; Apicomplexa; Aconoidasida; Haemosporida; Plasmodiidae. The record is from RNAcentral.
CAAUAAUAGCUGUCUGCUUACUCAUAAAUAUAGUAUUUAUCGCCGUAGUCUGUUCUUUUGUG